This 494-nucleotide ribosomal RNA is filed under the name uncultured bacterium. Its description in RNAcentral is "bacterial SSU rRNA". It matches the Rfam family "Bacterial small subunit ribosomal RNA", at positions 903 to 1397 of the family's 1533-position model. The record is from RNAcentral.
AAAUGAAUAGACGGGGGCCCGCACAAGCGGUGGAGCAUGUGGUUUAAUUCGACGCAACGCGAAGAACCUUACCUGGGCUUGAACAGUCGCCGACCGUGGCAGAGACGCCACUUCCCGCAAGGGCGGCGGCAGAGGCGCUGCAUGGCUGUCGUCAGCUCGUGUCGUGAGAUGUUGGGUUAAGUCCCGCAACGAGCGCAACCCUUGCCAUUAGUUGCCAUCGGGUAAUGCCGGGGACUCUAAUGGGACUGCCCGGGUCAACCGGGAGGAAGGUGGGGAUGAUGUCAAGUCCUCAUGGCCCUUAUGUCCAGGGCUACACACGUGCUACAAUGGGCGGUACAGACCGCAGCGAAGCCGCGAGGCGGAGCAAAUCGGAGAAAGCCGCCCUCAGUUCGGAUUGCAGCCUGCAACUCGGCUGCAUGAAGCUGGAAUCGCUAGUAAUCGCGCAUCAGAACGGCGCGGUGAAUACGUUCCCGGGCCUUGUACACACCGCCCGU